Molecule: ribosomal RNA, 773 nt
Filed under: Voria ruralis
Lineage: Eukaryota; Metazoa; Arthropoda; Insecta; Diptera; Tachinidae
Description: SSU rRNA
Rfam family: Eukaryotic small subunit ribosomal RNA
Source: RNAcentral
CCCUGUAAUUGGAAUGAGUACACUUUAAAUCCCUUAACAAGGACCUAUUGGAGGGCAAGUCUGGUGCCAGCAGCCGCGGUAACUCCAGCUCCAAUAGCGUAUAUUAAAGUUGUUGCGGUUAAAACGUUCGUAGUUGAACUUGUGCUUCAUACGGGUAGUACAACUAUAAUUGUAGUUUGUACUGUACCUUAUGUAUGCAAGCGUAUUACCGGUGGAGUUCUUAUGUGUAUUAAAUACUUGUAUUUUUUACAUGUUCCUCCUAUUUAAACCUACUUCAGUGCUCUUCAUCGAGUGUUGUUGUGGGCCGGUACAAUUACUUUGAACAAAUUAGAGUGCUUAAAGCAGGCUCCAAAUGCCUGAAUAUUUUGUGCAUGGAAUAAUGAAAUAAGACCUCUGUUCUACUUUCAUUGGUUUUUAGAUCAAGAGGUAAUGAUUAAUAGAAGCAGUUUGGGGGCAUUAGUAUUACGACGCGAGAGGUGAAAUUCUUGGACCGUCGUAAGACUAACUUAAGCGAAAGCAUUUGCCAAAGAUGUUUUCAUUAAUCAAGAACGAAAGUUAGAGGUUCGAAGGCGAUCAGAUACCGCCCUAGUUCUAACCAUAAACGAUGCCAGCUAGCAAUUGGGUGUAGCUACUAUCAUGGCUCUCUCAGUCGCUUCCCGGGAAACCAAAGCUUUUGGGCUCCGGGGGAAGUAUGGUUGCAAAGCUGAAACUUAAAGGAAUUGACGGAAGGGCACCACCAGGAGUGGAGCCUGCGGCUUAAUUUGACUCAACAC